Long non-coding RNA from Oncorhynchus mykiss (rainbow trout), 2190 nucleotides. The record is from Ensembl. Lineage: Eukaryota; Metazoa; Chordata; Actinopteri; Salmoniformes; Salmonidae.
AUUUAUACUUGGUGUAUAAUAUAAAUCAUUGGUUAGAACACUAUUGAUCUGCCACGGAGAUCUUCAAAUAUGAUAUAUCCCGCAGAAAGUAUGUUUCCUCCCGCUACAGCAAAUUAUUUGAUCAUUAACCAAUUUGUAUCAAAACGAGGCUACAAAGUAGCCCUCUACCCAUCGAACUCACCGCGUCCCCCUCGCUAUGGAAACGGCCCGGGAGCGUCCGGUUACCCCGGCAACCUCUGCUGAGAUUUGCCUCGCCAGUUCGCACUCUGUUGUCUCUGCAAGUUCUUUAAUAAGUUUUUAAGGUGACUUAGCAAAAGUUAGGAAAUCGUUAUUCGUCUUAGAAUGCUUAGAUUCAGUUAAAUAAAAAAAUAGUAUGCCACUUAGUUUAUGCGUUACAGCGACUUACUUUGGUUUUAAAGCAAUGCUUUUUCAAAUUGUUUUUCGUUUUUUUCUUUGACUAGGUUUCCUUUGCAGGUGUGUUUUGUGGAUUGUAGCUAAUCCUCUCUUUUCGGGCACAGUGUAGAAGUUCCUAUCAGUUUGUUUCAAUGAGUUCUCAAGGAGACCAACGCGAACCAACAUCACCUGGACUGGAAGCUGUGAUUCAGAAGCUGGAGGAGUCUCUACUCUCUAGUCUCCCUGACAGAAGCAGCAGGGUAGAGGAGAGUAACCUGUCUCUGACACCAAGAGGAGAUGGACAGGAAUCUGCUGCGGCCAAACUCUCUGCCUCGCCCGUCUCAGGCUCCGCCUGCUCUACAGCAACACCUGUCUCCUCCCGCAUCAGACAGAUCCUCACCAGGAACCUGGCUGACCCUAACCCUGCAGAUGAUGACAUCAGUCUUCAGGAAGAGAACAGCGUACUGAAGGAGCAGCUCUCUCAGACCAGGAUGGACCGGGACCAGCUACUGGAAAAACAGACCCAGCUCACAGACAGGGUAGGAACCAGAGCAUCAUCACUGAACAGAUCGCGCUCACAAACAGGGUAGGCUACAAGUUCUGGUCCAGUCAGUUCUGCUCCAGUGAGUUCUUCUCCAGUCAGUUCUGCUCCAGUGAGUUCUGCUCCAGUCAGUUCUGAUCCAGUCAGUUCUGAUCCAGUCAGUUCUGCUCUAGUCAGUUCUGCUCCAGUCAGUUCUGCUCUAGUCAGUUCUGAUCCAGUCAGUUCUGCUCUAGUCAGUUCUGCUCCAGUCAGUUCUGCUCUAGUCAGUUCUGAUCCAGUCAGUUCUGCUCUAGUCAGUUCUGAUCCAGUCAGUUCUGCUCUAGUCAGUUCUGCUCCAGUCAGUUCUGCUCUAGUCAGUUCUGAUCCAGUCAGUUCUGCUCUAGUCAGUUCUGCUCCAGUCAGUUCUGCUCUAGUCAGUUCUGAUCCAGACAGUUCUGCUCCAGACAGUUCUGCUCCAGACAGUUCUGCUCUAGUCAGUUCUGCUCCAGUGAGUUCUGCUCCAGUGAGUUCUGCUCCAGUGAGUUCUGCUCCAGUCAGUUCUGCUCCAGUCAGUUCUGCUCCAGACACUUCUGGUGCAGACAUUUUCAAAUAGGACUAAUGAUGAUUCUGUCUGAACUACACAAUAGUGGAAAUAAGAUGGUGAACAACGGACAUUAUUCCAUGUGUUAUUUAGGAGUGUGUUGAUCUCCCCACAUCAUCUGUCUGUCUAGAACUAGAAUCACAGUCUUUCUCUGUCCUUUUAUAUCUAUGAGCUCACCUCAAAUACAUACCGACCAUACUUGUUGCGGUUUCGGUGGAGCGCCAGGCCUGAAUAACUUCAGUGCACUAGUGAGGACUGCAUGGCAUCCCAUUCACGAUUACUAACUACUCUACUGUUUUCAGGGAAGGGCUGUUUCUCUGUGUUUUAUUUCACCUUUAUUUCACCUUUAUUUAACCAGGUAGGCCAGUUGAGAAUAAGUUCUCAUUUACAACUGCGACCUGGCCAAGAUAAGGCAAAGCAGUGCGACAAAAACAACAACACAGAGUUACACAUAAACAAACGUACGGUCAAUAACACAAUAGAAACAUCUGUAUACAGUGUGUGCAAAUGAAGUAAGGCAAUAAAUAGGCCAAUAAAUUAAUUAAUUUGGGACACACUUUUUCAUUCAAGGGUUUUUCUUAUUUUUUUUAAAACUAUUUUCUACAUUGUAGAAUAAUAGUGAAGACAUCAGAACUUUGAAAUAACACAUAUGGGAUCAUGUAGUAACCCAAAAAGU